AUUGCCUUUAGUAACGGCGAGUGAAGCGGCAAAAGCUCAGAUUUGAAAUCUGGUGUCAAAUUGAUACCCGAGUUGUAAUCUGUAGAGGAGUUUUUCGGAGUAUGGCUUUGGUUGAAGUUCCUUGGAAAAGGGCAUCAUAGAGGGUGAGAAUCCUGUUUAUGACCAGUGUCUGUCUCCAUUAUGAAUCUCCUUCAAUGAGUCGAGUUGUUUGGGAAUGCAGCUCUAAAUGGGUGGUAAAUUCCAUCUAAAGCUAAAUAUUGGCAAGAGACCGAUAGCGCACAAGUAGAGUGAUCGAAAGAUGAAAAGAACUCUGAACAGAGAGUUAAAGAGUACGUGAAAUUGUUGAAAGGGAAGCACUUGUGACCAGACAAAUUUACAGUUAAUCAGCCAUCAAUUUUUGGUGGUGCACUUAAUUGUAGAUGGGUCAGCAUCAGUUAUAGUAGUGGAAUAAAGAUCAAAGGAAUGUAGCUCCUCUUUGAGGAGUGUUAUAGCCUUUGGUUCAAUACCGCUGGCCAUGACUGAGGAUAGCACUUCCAGUAAGGAUGCUGACAUAAUGGUCAUAAGUGACCCGUCUUGAAACACGGACCAAGGAGUCUAACAUCUAUGCGAGUGUUUGGGUUCAAGCCCUUAUGCAAAAUGAAAGUGAAUGGAGGUGGAAACCAUUUGGUGCACCAUCGACCGAUCCUGAAGUUUUCUGAUGGAUUUGAGUAGGAGCAUAGCUGUUGGGACCCGAAAGAUGGUGAACUAUGCCUGAAUAGGGUGAAGCCAGAGGAAACUCUGGUGGAGGCUCGCAGCGGUUCUG
This 802-nucleotide ribosomal RNA is filed under the name Pachyphlodes sp. 15 RH-2014. RNAcentral's name for it is "eukaryotic LSU rRNA". It matches the Rfam family "Eukaryotic large subunit ribosomal RNA", at positions 73 to 888 of the family's 3401-position model. The record is from RNAcentral. Lineage: Eukaryota; Fungi; Ascomycota; Pezizomycetes; Pezizales; Pezizaceae.